RNAcentral lists this ribosomal RNA (305 nucleotides) under uncultured bacterium. RNAcentral describes it as "bacterial SSU rRNA". It matches the Rfam family "Bacterial small subunit ribosomal RNA", at positions 334 to 655 of the family's 1533-position model. The record is from RNAcentral.
GGGUGCCUACGGGACGCAGCAGUGGGGAAUAUUGCACAAUGGGGGAAACCCUGAUGCAGCGACGCCGCGUGAGUGAUGAAGUAUUUCGGUAUGUAAAGCUCUAUCAGCAGGGAAGAUAAUGACGGUACCUGACUAAGAAGCUCCGGCUAAAUACGUGCCAGCAGCCGCGGUAAUACGUAUGGAGCAAGCGUUAUCCGGAUUUACUGGGUGUAGAGGGAGCGCAGACGGCAGGGCAAGUCUGAUGUGAAAGUCCGGGGCUCAACCCCGGGACUGCAUUGGAAACUGUCCGGCUAGAGGGCAGGGGG